GCCGUGACAGGGAGUGAGGUGCAGCUCAGGAUGGGGAAGGAGGGACUCCUGUUCUUUCAGGUGCUGUGGCUGCUGCCCUGGGUGCAGCUGUGCAGGGGGGCUGCAGAGGUGAGGCUGGAGAACGGCGGCAGGCGCUGUGCUGGGAGAGUGGAGGUGAAGCAACAAGGCCAGUGGGGGACCGUGUGUGGUGUAUUCUGGGACAUGAAGGAUGCUACGGUGGUUUGUAACCAGCUGGGUUGUGGGUCUGCUGUGGGAGCUCCUAAGUACGAAUACUUCGGGCCAGGAUCUGGCCCUGUCUGGAUGUUUGGCGUUCACUGCCGCGGCACAGAGCGUGCCCUGUCUGACUGCACAAACAGAAGAGAGUACCAGGAGGACUGUAACCACAGUUUGGAUGCUGGAGUGAUCUGUUCAGGAUUUGUCCAGCUGACUGGAGGUGACAGCCCCUGCUCAGGACGCGUGGAGAUCCAUAGCAGGGGCAGCUGGAGAGCCGUCUGUGACUCAGACUUUGGUCCCAAAGCCGCUGAUGUGGUCUGCAGGGAGCUGCAGUGCGGCGCAGCCCUGUCCGUGGUCGGGGCAGCUCCCUUUGGAGAGCACGCCGGUCCCAUGUGGAACGGACUACUGCAGUGCAUGGGGAAUGAAUCCCUCCUCGUCUCCUGCCCCAGGGGACCUCCCAGGGACCAGCCUUGCACCCACGGGAACGCCGCUGGCAUCAUCUGUACACGUAAGGAUUCCUGCUGGGGCGUCAAACAGGAGGGUGAUGCUGGGGACAGGGGAGUAGGGCAGGGAGGGUGCUGCGCCAGGCGUGAGGAUGGCAGGCGUGACGUGGUUGCCUGCAGCCCUAAAGUGAUGCAGAAGGAAGAGAAGGGCAGGGUCUCCUCCGCUUGGCCUCUCCUCCAGCUGCUGAGGGAGCGAGAGCACAGGUCUGCCCUGCCUCGUCCUUCUCUGUUCCCAGAGUACACGGGGUUCAGGCUGAACAAUGGCACAGCGUGCGAGGGGAGGGUGGAGGUCCAGGUGCAGGGGACCUGGGGCAGCCUCUGUGCCUCCCGCUGGGAUCUCUUGGAUGCCCACGUUCUCUGUCGUCACCUCAACUGCGGGUUUGCGGAGACCAUUCCCGAGCGAGGGCGCUUUGGGAGAGGAACUGGCCCCAUCUGGAGAGAUUCAUUUCACUGUAACGGGACUGAAGAGCACCUGGGGCAGUGCUCCAUGACCACCCUGGGGGCCUCACCCUGCUCCCGUGAGGAUGAAGCCGCUGUCAUUUGCUCAGGCCCAGCUGACUCCAAAUCCCUGCGACUGGUGGGUGGGGAGAGCCGGUGUAACGGGCGAGUGGAGAUCUUCCACCACGGGACAUGGGGCAGAGUCCUGGAUGACAACUGGGACAUGCAGGAGGCCAAUGUGGUGUGCCAGCAGCUGCGGUGUGGAGCAGCGACGGCAGCCUACAAACCCCUGAAGGCUCAGAGAGGGAGGGGCCCCGUGGGGCUGCGAGGGGUCCGGUGUGCAGGGCAGGAGACCAGCCUGACCGCCUGCCGCACCUCCCUGCCCAAGAAUGCGCGGGUGGCGGAGAUGAUGGAGGACGUGGGGGUGGUUUGCUCAGGGAGUUGGCAAAUCCGGCUGGUGGACGGGCCUGGGCGCUGCGCCGGGAGAGUGGAGGUCUACAACCAGGGCAGCUGGGGCACUGUCUGCGAUGAUGGCUGGGACCUGCUUGAUGCCACCGUCGUUUGCCGCCAGCUGGACUGCGGAGGGGCAGUGGAUGCCGUUCGCUUCGCUCAAUUCGGGGCAGGCUCCGGGGAGAUCUGGCUGGACAACGUGAACUGCUCUGGGAAUGAAUCUGCUCUCUGGGAUUGCCCAGCAGUGUCCUGGGAGCAGCAGGACUGUGGGCACAAAGAGGACGCAGGAGUCAUCUGCUCAGAUUUCAUGGCCCUGAGGCUGGAGAACAGCAACAAUUGCUCCGGGCGGCUGCAAGUUUUCUACAAUGGCACAUGGGGUGGCGUUUGCUCCAACUCAGUGACUCCCAAAACGGUGUCGCUGGCAUGCAAGGAGCUGGGCUGUGGGAACAGAGGGUCUCUGGAAAUGCGCCUACCCUAUGGUAGGGUGUCCGGCCCCACCUGGCUGGAUCACGUGCAGUGUGAGGAGAGAAUCAGCUCUUUCUGGCAGUGCCCCUCUUCUCCCUGGAACCCACAGUCUUGCCGUGACCUGCGAGAUGAGACCUACAUCACCUGCAACGGGAGUUGGACAGAAGCGCCCCCGACCCUGGAGCCCCCAUGCCCAAACUCCACGAGCUGCACAGACAGGGAGAAGAUUCGUGCCAUGGGAGGCGAGGACAAGUGCUCGGGCAGGGUGGAGAUCUGGCACCGCGGCUCCUGGGGGACGGUGUGCGAUGACUCCUGGGACAUGCAGGAUGCUGAGGUGGCGUGUAGGCAGCUGGGCUGCGGCCCUGCGGUGUCUGCCCUGGACGAGGCUGCGUUUGGGCAGGGGAUGGGCCCCAUCUGGCUGGAGAAGGUGGAGUGCCGGGGGACAGAGCUGUCUCUGCAGGAUUGCUGGGCACAGCCUGGGGACAGCGGUGCAUGCCGGCACAAGGAGGAUGCUUCUGUGCGCUGCUCGGCUCCACUCAGAACAGCAGCACCAGCUUCCCAAACAGAUCCCACCCCAGAGCAUCUGACUGGCAGCAGGAGCAUCUCAUUACCUGUCGUCAUCUGCAUCAUCCUGGGGGGCCUUCUCUGCCUGCUCCUGGCCCUCCUGGUUGGGCAAAUACAAAGCGCCAGGGCUUGGCGCAAAGCCCUGCCUCUCUCUGUGGGCUCUGGGACAUCUUGGGAGCCCUUCCCUGCGGCUGUGUAUGAGGAAAUCAAUUACAGACUGGCGUGGGAGAAAGAGGCGAAAUUCAGGGGCUCAGGCUCCUAUUCAGAGGGGUUCCCAAUCAAGCUGCAGCCCUACCCCCAGGACAGCAAGGAGGAGGAUGGUCUGGGGCCAGCACCAGAUGUCCUUGACCCGCCUGGAGGUUACCAAGCAGAUGGCUAUGAUGAUGUUAGGGAGGCUUCUGGCCCUGGGGAGGAUCCUGUGUCCAGGCAGGGAGACUGGGAAAUGCCCGUGGCACCAGAGGAGGGAGCAGGGCCCAUGGAUGCACCUGGAGGGGCAAACCUGCCCUCCCAGAGAAGUGCUGGGGCUCCUGGAGCUGUGGAAGGUGCCUGGUCCCUGUCCCUGGAGAGCGCAGGCUAUGACGAUGCUGAAGAAGUGUCUCUGGCACAUCCUCCUGAGGACACAGAGGCUGUGGCACCAGGGAGGGAUGCGAGAAAGCAGGCGCUGCUAAAUCUGAGCCAGGGUCCCUCUCCCUCAGCUGGGGCUGUCGCCUACCCCAGCUCCCAUGGGCAGAGAAACCUUUCAUACAGGGCAGGGAGAAGGAUUUGACACCUUGGUAGGAAUGUGCAGCCCCGACUGCCCUCCCUGCUCCUGCUGGUGCAUCUCCACAAGCCUCAGGCCCUGACGGGCUCUUCUGCUGAAGGCUGGAAGGCACCUGACAGAAGUAGCCACGUGUAACAGCCAGCAAAGCCACCAGCCACACUGAGCAGCAGCGGCAUCAAAUGCGUGAAGUCCCGGUGUCGCUGGGUUUGUUCCCAUGAAAAUACAGGCUCCUGUCAGGGCUUUAAUGAAAGCCUGUCCGGUUUUAUCUGCAUGACAAGAGAUAAAUAAAAAUCCACUGAUCAGCGGCUCACAAGAACUCGAAAUGGCUCAGAUUCUUCACUGACGUUAUAUAUUUCUCAAGGAUUAGACGUGCUUAUAUCUUUACGGGACGCUGCCUAUAGAAAAGAGACCUGUUGUGGGUCAGCUGUGAAAUGACCGAGGGCAAUCCACCUGAGUAUUUGCUUUGGAAGCUGCCCCAAGAGCGGGCGGUCACCUGGAAGAUUUUCAUCCUGACUGUUCCUGCUUUGUGCGCUGCUCACCAGAUAGUGAGUACAUGGGGCUGGAUUAUCUCUCCUGUUUAAAUACGCUGUGAGGACACUUCCAUCCUGAAGCUGUUUUGAAAAGAAUCGAUGACUUGGACGCGCUGCCAUAACCGAGGAACAUUGACGUAGGAGAGGUCAAGGCUGCCUUGGCGAUCAAUGCACAUCAAGGGGUGGCAUUUGGUAGACCCUUAACAUAAAGGUGCUGUUCAGGGAGAUCCCAUCUGCUGGUUUUGUGGUCUCCAAACAGACGUGCCCAUGUUUUUGGAACAGGGGCACAUUUCCACCUUUUUUUGGUUUGACAAAGAGAUGGGCAAGAAACUUUAAAGGCAGGUCUACAGUGUAGCUCAUCCUACUUGUGCUGUCCCCUUGCAACCUCUCUGAGCAGGGCAGACAGCCCUUCUGGAAGUUUCUCUCUCAUCCCUGCAGUCUCCUCCAUGAGGCUGUGGAAUAUUUACCACAUUGGUUUUCCAAAUACAGUUUUAGCCUGGUCGUUCUCCUCUGGCAUUGACCUGCCGUGAGGUAUCCUGUUGUUUUACAGAGGGAAAUGGAUGAAAAAGAAAAAUGCCUUGAGUCCCUGAAGCACACAGAUAGAGGCACGCAUGACAGAGAUAAUACGCAGGAAUAGU
RNA transcript from Falco peregrinus (peregrine falcon), 4561 nucleotides. It is a transcript of the gene named antigen WC1.1-like, with no coding region annotated. Lineage: Eukaryota; Metazoa; Chordata; Aves; Falconiformes; Falconidae. The record is from RefSeq and is a predicted model, not a curated record. The transcript is spliced from 16 exons.